AUAUCAAUAAGCGGAGGAAAAGAAACCAACAGGGAUUACCUCAGUAACGGCGAGUGAAGCGGUAAAAGCUCAAAUUUGAAAUCUGGCUCUUUUAGAGUCCGAAUUGUAAUUUGUAGAAGAUGCUUCGGGUGUGGUUCCGGUCUAAGUUCCUUGGAACAGGACGUCAUAGAGGGUGAGAAUCCCGUAUGUGACUGGAUACCUAUGCUCAUGUGAAGCUCUUUCGACGAGUCGAGUUGUUUGGGAAUGCAGCUCAAAAUGGGAGGUAUAUUUCUUCUAAAGCUAAAUAUUGGCCAGAGACCGAUAGCGCACAAGUAGAGUGAUCGAAAGAUGAAAAGCACUUUGGAAAGAGAGUUAAACAGUACGUGAAAUUGUUGAAAGGGAAGCGCUUGCAAUCAGACUUGCACUUGGUGUUCAUCAGGGUCUCGUACCCUGUGUACUUCAUCAAGUUCAGGCCAGCAUCAGUUUGAGUGGUUAGAUAAAGGCUUAGAGAAUGUGGCCCUCUUCGGGGGGUGUUAUAGCUCUAGGUGCAAUGUAGCCUACUUGGACUGAGGACCGCGCUUCGGCUAGGAUGCUGGCGUAAUGGUUGUAAGCGAC
RNAcentral lists this ribosomal RNA (594 nucleotides) under Botrytis cinerea. RNAcentral describes it as "eukaryotic LSU rRNA". It matches the Rfam family "Eukaryotic large subunit ribosomal RNA", at positions 40 to 648 of the family's 3401-position model. Lineage: Eukaryota; Fungi; Ascomycota; Leotiomycetes; Helotiales; Sclerotiniaceae. The record is from RNAcentral.